CACAAACUCGUUUCCUUUUCUGUUUUCUUAUCUUCCUCACCCAACUCUGAAAAUCUCACAGAUCCAACCUCAACUCUCACAAUCAAAGACUAAUCCCAACCUCAUCUCAAAAUCAAAACCCAUGUAUCAUAUCUAAAAGAAAACACCUCUUUUCUAACCCUAGAUUUAGAGCAAACUCUCAUCUGAUUUUAGCUCGCUCGUUUCCAGUAUGAGAGGGAGAUGAAGAAUCCUGCAUAUGGAAGCAAAUCUCAUCAUCGAAUCAAGUAUGAUUUCAAAAACUAAUCUAACCGCAUCUUUGAAUCAACACCUAUCUCAGAAUCAGAACCAUAAUCCUUUAGUAUCCCCUAAUUUUUUACCCUAGAUCGCGUUAAUUUUUCUCCUGAAAUCAAAGCAAACCCUCAUCUCAUAUUUGAUAGAGAUGAGAGUAGAAGAAGAAGACUUCACCAUUGCAACAGAUUUUUGUGUUUAGUUGGUGGUGGUGCAUCAUUUGUUAAGGUGUUUGUGAUGAGAAAUAAUUGGAUCUGUUAUGAGAAUGGAUGCUGGUGGUGGUGAUGCAGGUAGAAAUUGGUGGAGAAUUCGACUGAAAUUUGUGGUUAGAGAAGUGAUGGGAAUAAUUUACCUUGCGGUGAGACUCUUUCACGGAGGAAACAAGGACAAAACUACAUGGAAGGAGUAUUGUUGAGUAUUUGGAUAUCAUCUGGGGACAGGGCGCUUGAGUUAUUUUCACUUGUAUAGCUCUUAUGCUAUCAACUGUGAUACAAUGGACGAGUUCAAUCUGCAGCAAACGUGACCAGUAUAAUGAAGCUGAUCCCAAAAAAAUCACGCAGGUGAUUGUGGAGAAAGCCGAGCGAAGUGAUAAGAAAAAGUAUCUAGUUCCAGCUGAUUUGACUGUUGAGCAAUUUGUCUAUGUGAUCCGAAAGAGGAUCAAGUUUAGUGCAGAGAAAGCAAUCUUCAUUUUCGUGGAUAACUUCCUCCAACAGUCUCGAUGGGAUAUUAUAAGAAUUCACUAAAGAAGAAUGAACUUGAUGCGUUGAAUUGAUUUAAAGAAGACAUAGCAGAGAAGGUGGGCAGGGCAUCUGGCAUGGAGCUAAAAAAGGUUUGUUAUCACCUCUUUUCUUUUUUGAUGAAUUUGUUGUUGUUAUUAUUUUGACUAAAAGACAAACUAACAGACUAAGAUUCAUAAAAUUUAACCAAGAAUGAUGUUAAUGUGCACUUUCACUUAGUUGUUUCAUUGAUGGCUUUUGUGAAUUGCUGUUAUCCUAAAUGUAUGUUUAGUCUGUUAAUGGGAUGUUUGGAAGGGUCCGACUGGUGUUUCGUUUUUUGAAAUGAAUGCAGUAUAUAUGUUCUCGAAGUCGAUUAAAGGUGGUUUGUUAGGGGAGAACAUCAUAUGUUGAACUUUACCACCAGAAAACCAAUGCGUACCAAGUAAUUACUCUGUAGAGUUUUCUUUGAUUCUAUAUGGUCUGAAUCAAAAUUAAAUUAUAGUGUCAAGUUUUAAUCUUGUUGAUAAACUUUGUCGAACUUUUCAAUCAAGUGAUUAUUGUAAUGUCUUGUACAUGCUUCAAACCUUGUUAUGUAAAUUUGUUCUUCUAUGGUCGUA
Molecule: RNA transcript, 1600 nt
Organism: Papaver somniferum (opium poppy)
Lineage: Eukaryota; Viridiplantae; Streptophyta; Magnoliopsida; Ranunculales; Papaveraceae
Gene name: autophagy-related protein 8f-like
Exons: 7
Source: RefSeq, a predicted model, not a curated record